CUUGAUUUGUCCUGCAAGUUUAACUCACUGGGUUAUUGUUUCACAGUGUUCAUCUUAAACGUUCAGUUCUCAACAACAACAAUAAUAAUAAUAAUAAUAAUAAUCAUGCUGCAGACAUGUCAGGGUGCAUUUCUCCUGAAGGAGUGGUCAGCUGGUUUAUGACUGUGUGUAUGCUGAUAUGCAGCCAGCAGCCGUGUGCCUGAUUUAGCAGAAAUGCUUGGAUAGCAACAGUAACAACUUUUAGCUGUGGCCUGGUCUCUCAGCGGGAGAGCCACUCAGUGGCCAUGUGGUUAUGGGUGCCUUUGGCCCCCUCUCUUCCCCGCUCCGUGGGUGUCUCUCCUCCCUCUUUCCAUUUCUACCUGACAUCUUCAAACUAUUUCGGCGUCAUUCUUGCCCAGCUCCUUUUGAAGAGACCCAGGGAAACUGAAGCGAGCGCUCCUCCCACUAAUCCAACCACUACCGACUGGUGUAAGCAGCUCAGGAUGUCCACCCACCUCCUCCUCCUCCUCCUACUCCUCCUCCUCCUCCUACUCCUCCUCCUCCUCCUCCACUGCCCAGGGCUUCUCCCUCGCUGAGCCAGCCAUGACCAGCCAGCACACACAUACACAUCCCUCCUUCAGCUCCAUCCACUCCAUGGCCGAGCAGCAGCAGGUUAUUUCUGAUACAAACAUACUCCAGCGGAGGAUCCCCCCAAGUUUCAGAGACCCUGCCAGUGCUCCACUGAGGAAGCUCUCUGUUGACCUCAUCAAAACAUACAAGCACAUCAAUGAGGUGUAUUAUACUAAGAAGAAGAGGCGGGCCCAGCAAGUCCCUCCAGAAGACAGCAGCACCAAGAAGGAGAGAAAAGUUUACAACGAUGGCUACGACGAUGACAACUACGACUACAUUGUUAAAAAUGGAGAAAAGUGGCUGGACCGCUAUGAGAUAGACUCACUGAUUGGGAAAGGCUCAUUUGGACAGGUGGUGAAGGCCUACGACCACCAUGAGCAGGAAUGGAUCGCCAUUAAGAUCAUCAAGAACAAAAAGGCCUUUCUAAACCAGGCCCAGAUUGAACUACGCCUGCUGGAGCUCAUGAACAAGCAUGACACUGAAAUGAAAUAUUACAUAGUCCACCUGAAGCGUCACUUUAUGUUUAGAAACCAUCUCUGUUUGGUGUUUGAGUUGUUAAGCUACAAUCUGUAUGAUCUUUUGAGGAAUACCAACUUCAGAGGAGUUUCCCUCAAUCUCACCAGGAAAUUUGCACAACAGCUCUGUACAGCUUUAUUAUUCCUGGCCACUCCAGAGUUGUCAAUCAUCCACUGUGACCUAAAACCAGAGAAUAUCCUGCUGUGUAACCCCAAACGGUCUGCCAUCAAGAUUGUGGACUUUGGAUCUUCCUGUCAGCUUGGACAGAGGAUCUAUCAGUACAUCCAAAGCAGGUUUUACCGAUCUCCUGAAGUUCUGUUGGGAAUGCCAUAUGACCUGGCCAUCGACAUGUGGUCUCUGGGAUGUAUCCUGGUGGAGAUGCACACGGGAGAGCCUCUCUUCAGUGGCUCUAAUGAGGUUGACCAAAUGAAUAAAAUCGUGGAGGUUCUGGGUGUCCCGCCCAGCCACAUGCUGGAUGCAGCACCUAAAGCUAGGAAGUACUUUGACAAGUUGUCAGAUGGUCUUUGGACUGUCAAGAAGAACAAGGACUCAAAGAAGGAGUAUAAACCUCCAGCAACACGGCGUCUUCAUGAGAUUUUGGGUGUUGAAACAGGGGGUCCAGGGGGGCGGCGGGCAGGGGAGCCAGGACACGCCCCCUGUGACUACCUGAAGUUUAAAGAUCUGAUCUUGCGCAUGCUGGAUUAUGAUCCAAAAAGCCGCAUCACACCAUUCUACGCACUGCAGCACAACUUCUUCAAGAAGACAACAGAUGAAGGAACUAACACCAGUUCAUCGACAUCCACGUCCCCCGCCAUGGACCACUCCCAUUCAGCCUCCACUACCAGCUCUGUGACUCUGCCAUCAGUUGGUGGUUCUUCCAACGACAACCGCAACUACCGCUACAGCAACCGCUACUACAACUCUGCUGUGACACACUCAGACUAUGAGAUGACGAGCCCUCAGGCUCCGUCUCAGCAGCAGAUCAGAAUAUGGCCAGGCAGUGAGGGUGGAGGUGGGGGACAGGACCCAUCAUACACCCAGUUGCUCCUUCACAAGCCAGCUGCCUCCCAGCAACACCAGCGCCACUUCCUGGACCCACCCCACCACCCCCACCCAACCUACUCCCAUCACGGAAAUGGCGAGCGCGGCCUGCGCCAGGCUGGACAGACGGGCAUCGGUGGAGGUGGGGGCCAGCAGGGAUCCCCGCCAGAAAUGAGUGACAGCAUGGAUGUGGGUGUGUCCCUGGGGCUGCACCACCUGGGGGCAGUGUCUUCCAUGGAGGCCUCUCAGUUUGGUUCUGCCUCUCUGCCCCUCUCUCUGCCAAUUGGAUUAUCAGCCUUCCGAACUCGUACAGCCCCCAACGCCCCAGGGCCAAAAGCCCCACCCCCUGACGACUACUACCCUGUCUCCAACAAUAAUAAUGCUACUGCAGGGGGCAGAGGCAGGCCAGACUCAGAGGAGGGGGCAGCCAACUCUUGA
Takifugu rubripes (torafugu) is the source of this 2604-nucleotide long non-coding RNA. NCBI's taxonomy places the organism in Eukaryota, Metazoa, Chordata, Actinopteri, Tetraodontiformes, Tetraodontidae. The record is from Ensembl.